This 208-nucleotide long non-coding RNA is filed under the name Manihot esculenta (cassava). RNAcentral describes it as "long non-coding RNA (MESC_LNC012518)". Lineage: Eukaryota; Viridiplantae; Streptophyta; Magnoliopsida; Malpighiales; Euphorbiaceae. The record is from RNAcentral.
CACAACUAAACCUAUAAACAUAACUCUACCCUUAACCUCUGAAACAGCUAUUAGAAAUCAUUAAAACAAGUAUAAAAACUUCCCUUACCUCCUGAAAUCAGAAGCUGGACAACCUGAACACCAAGCUAUGCACCAACACCUCUUUUCCUUCACCAAAACACCAAAACUCUCUUCUUUUAUUUCAAAACGUUCUAAACACUUUACCACC